UGCUGUAUGUGGAUUUCUAACAACAUGAUAAAACAUUCUCAAGAAUAACUUUGUUUCAUCACUAUUUAAAAACCUUGGUGCCUCCCAAACACAGCACAGAAAUCGAGCAGAGGAGAUAGACUUUGGAGACAAAACACACCAACUAAAACGUAUCGUCGUGCACAAACAUGUUACCAGAAACAAUGGAAUAAGAUCAACAAUAUGUAUUAGAAAACUUCUGAAACUAUAUCAUAAGAACACCACCCAAAAACCCAAGGUGUCCCUUUUCUCUCAGCAAUCCCUGGGCAAUCAAGGGAGACUACUUCCUCUUGAUACUCAGGCUGAAAACAAUGGUUCAAAGAAGAUUAAUUCCAAGGAUUUUUGAACAGGUCUAUGCUAGCCAUCUUAAACUGCGAUAGCAAUGGAGCAAGCCGUACAACUUGACAGGUCAACAACAUCAUGACAUGGCGGUGCCAACCGCAGCCGCUCCUCGCGGCACAACAUGGUGCCCUGCCCCUCACACCGCGCCACUGCCGCACUCUUACCUUACCAGGGGCCACAGACCCUGCCGGAUUCUGGAAGUGUCAGCCUCAAAAGAAAGCACAGCCCAAGCCGCUGCUCACUUCACCUUGCUCUCCCUGCAGACAGCACGGCAGCCCACAGCCAAGUAGUGCCAGCGCUGGAAGCUUCCUGAAGGUGGGCGGCAACCGGGGCGGCACAGCCGGGCCUUGCCUCACAGUGGCCCGCAUGCUGUCCCUGCGCUGUGGCUGCCCAGCUGCUGGCAGGCGUUUUCGUGGCUUCUGCAAGCAACUUGUGCAGGACUUGUGCAGAGCUGCUGUGUUCUGCCUCCUGUGA
RNAcentral lists this long non-coding RNA (834 nucleotides) under Anser brachyrhynchus (Pink-footed goose). RNAcentral describes it as "lncRNA (ENSABRG00000011277.1)". The record is from RNAcentral. Lineage: Eukaryota; Metazoa; Chordata; Aves; Anseriformes; Anatidae.